Molecule: ribosomal RNA, 1406 nt
Filed under: Candidatus Phytoplasma trifolii
Lineage: Bacteria; Bacillati; Mycoplasmatota; Mollicutes; Acholeplasmatales; Acholeplasmataceae
Description: bacterial SSU rRNA
Rfam family: Bacterial small subunit ribosomal RNA
Source: RNAcentral
UGCAAGUCGAACGGGAACCUCUUAAAAGGAGGUUUUUAGUGGCGAACGGGUGAGUAACACGUAAGUAACCUGCCUUUAAGACGAGGAUAACAACCGGAAGGUUACUAAGACUGGAUAGGAAACAAAAAGGCAUCUUUUUGUUUUUAAAAGACCUUCUUACGAAGGUAUGCUUAAAGAGGGGCUUGCGCCACAUUAGUUAGUUGGUAGAGUAAAAGCCUACCAAGACGAUGAUGUGUAGCUGGACUGAGAGGUUGAACAGCCACAUUGGGACUGAGACACGGCCCAAACUCCUACGGGAGGCAGCAGUAGGGAAUUUUCGGCAAUGGAGGAAACUCUGACCGAGCAACGCCGCGUGAACGAUGAAGUAUUUCGGUAUGUAAAGUUCUUUUAUUGAAGAAGAAAAAGUAGUGGAAAAACUAUAUUGACGUUAUUCAAUGAAUAAGCCCCGGCUAACUAUGUGCCAGCAGCCGCGGUAAGACAUAGGGGGCGAGCGUUAUCCGGAAUUAUUGGGCGUAAAGGGUGCGUAGGCUGUUAGAUAAGUCUAUAAUUUAAUUUCAGUGCUUAACGCUGUCUUGUUAUAGAAACUGUCUUGACUAGAGUGAGAUAGAGGCAAGCGGAAUUCCAUGUGUAGCGGUAAAAUGUGUAAAUAUAUGGAGGAACACCAGAAGCGUAGGCGGCUUGCUGGGUCUUUACUGACGCUGAGGCACGAAAGCGUGGGUAGCAAACAGGAUUAGAUACCCUGGUAGUCCACGCCGUAAACGAUGAGUACUAAGUGUCGGGGUAAAACUCGGUACUGAAGUUAACACAUUAAGUACUCCGCCUGAGUAGUACGUACGCAAGUAUGAAACUUAAAGGAAUUGACGGGACUCCGCACAAGCGGUGGAUCAUGUUGUUUAAUUCGAAGAUACACGAAAAAUCUUACCAGGUCUUGACAUACUCUGCAAAGCUAUAGAAAUAUAGUGGAGGUUAUCAGGGAUACAGGUGGUGCAUGGUUGUCGUCAGUUCGUGUCGUGAGAUGUUAGGUUAAGUCCUAAAACGAACGCAACCCUUGUCGUUAAUUGCCAGCACAUAAUGGUGGGGACUUUAACGAGACUGCCAAUUAAACAUUGGAGGAAGGUGAGGAUUACGUCAAAUCAUCAUGCCCCUUAUGAUCUGGGCUACAAACGUGAUACAAUGGCUGUGACAAAGAGUAGCUGAAACGCGAGUUUUUAGCCAAUCUCAAAAAAGCAGUCUCAGUUCGGAUUGAAGUCUGUAACUCGACUUCAUGAAGUUGGAAUCGCUAGUAAUCGCGAAUCAGCAUGUCGCGGUGAAUACGUUCUCGGGGUUUGUACACACCGCCCGUCAAACCACGAAAGUUAGCAAUGCCCGAAAGCAGUAGCUUAACUUCGCAAGAAGAGGGAACCUAG